AAUCAACGCUGGCGGCGUGCCUCAGACAUGCAAGUCGAACGAUUAAGACUUCCUUCGGGAAGUGCAUAAAGUGGCGCACGGGUGAGUAACACGUAAGUAAUCUACCUUCGAGUGGGGAAUAACGUUCGGAAACGAACGCUAAUACCGCAUAAUGCAGCGGCAUCGUAAGAUGACAGUUGUUAAAGGAGCAAUUCGCUUGAAGAGGAGCUUGCGGCAGAUUAGCUAGUUGGUAAGGUAAUGGCUUACCAAGGCUACGAUCUGUAUCCGGUCUAAGAGGACGGUCGGACACACUGACACUGAAUAACGGGUCAGACUCCUACGGGAGGCAGCAGUCGGGAAUUUUGGGCAAUGGGGGAAACCCUGACCCAGCAACGCCGCGUGAAGGAUGAAGUAUUUCGGUAUGUAAACUUCGAAAGAAUAGGAAGAAUCAAUGACGGUACUAUUUAUAAGGUCCGGCUAACUACGUGCCAGCAGCCGCGGUAAUACGUAGGGACCAAGCGUUGUUCGGAUUUACUGGGCGUAAAGGGCGCGUAGGCGGCGCGGUAAGUCACUUGUGAAACCUCUGAGCUCAACUCAGAACGGCCAAGUGAUACUGCAGUGCUAGAGUGCAGAAGGGGCAAUCGGAAUUCUUGGU
This 634-nucleotide ribosomal RNA is filed under the name uncultured Acidobacteriota bacterium. RNAcentral's name for it is "bacterial SSU rRNA". It matches the Rfam family "Bacterial small subunit ribosomal RNA", at positions 28 to 674 of the family's 1533-position model. The record is from RNAcentral. Lineage: Bacteria; Pseudomonadati; Acidobacteriota.